Molecule: long non-coding RNA, 518 nt
Filed under: Phoenix dactylifera (date palm)
Lineage: Eukaryota; Viridiplantae; Streptophyta; Magnoliopsida; Arecales; Arecaceae
Description: long non-coding RNA (PDAC_LNC009933)
Source: RNAcentral
AUUCAUUUUAUGCAUCUACGUAGUGGUCGUGUCGCAUCUCAUCCUGAGUUCCAAUUAGGCAUGGAUUCCAAAAUUGAAGCUCUAUUAAAGGCUAUCUAAGACACUAACGCUCAAGUCCAAAACAACAAUGCCCAAAUUCAUGACCUAACCACAAUGUCCACCCAGGUUAAUACCCGACUUGAUUCAAUCGAGGCUUCACUUCAGCGGGUUAUUGAAUUUAAGAAAGCUAGUACCUCCCAUUUACCAGGUCUUGAAGGGGAUGACACCCUAGAACAACUCCUAGAACAACAAGACUCUGUUCGGUAAGACAAUUUUGAUAAUAGGUAUGUUCCGGGUCAGCAUCAUGCCUACCCUCGCCCUAGAGGACCAGGUCCCUUUCCUAAUAUUGAUAGAAGUUACCGACAUAACGUAGAACCUAGAGAACCUCGUGACCCUGAUGAAGAUGUAAUGAGAGGCAUUAGGGUGAAAGCCCCCACUUUUGACGGUCGUCUUGACUCGAAAGUCUUCUCCGAUUGGUU